Molecule: RNA transcript, 550 nt
Organism: Arabidopsis thaliana (thale cress)
Lineage: Eukaryota; Viridiplantae; Streptophyta; Magnoliopsida; Brassicales; Brassicaceae
Exons: 2
Source: RefSeq
UCCUCCUCCUCCUCUUUCCUUCUUCAUCCUCCUCCUCUCUACGUGACUGUCGUGUUCUCUAAUCAAUGGAGGCUCCAACGCCUCUCCUCCUUCUCUUCCUCCUCACAAACACCACCUUCUUCACCACAUCCGUAGCUGACGACGGAAGAGCAAUGCUCACUUUAGCUAAAUCAUUCAAUCCAUUAUCGUCAGAUUGAUCUUCCACCACCGAUUUUUGCAAUUGGUUUGGCGUAUACCAGCAUUCGUGUCUUCCAAAAAUGUAAGUCACCAGCGAUUGCCCACAUUACAAAUCUCUGUUCAACUUCCAAUGAUUUUUUUACAAAAAUCUCUUGAGCUACAAUGGGUGCAUGACAAUGUUGAAGCCGAUAGAAUCAGAGCAUUUGAGAGAAUACAGACAUCUCUGGUUGAAUUGAUUGCUGAUUACUACAAAACAAUCGACACUUUCUCUAACAUUAUCAAAGUUCAGGUACCUGAGAUUUGUUGUUCAUAGGUGUUCAUACAUCUCAGUGGCGUUUAAGUGUACAAAUCGUCGACAACCAAAUCAAUACUC